This 441-nucleotide ribosomal RNA is filed under the name Bacillus licheniformis. RNAcentral describes it as "bacterial SSU rRNA". It matches the Rfam family "Bacterial small subunit ribosomal RNA", at positions 337 to 771 of the family's 1533-position model. Lineage: Bacteria; Bacillati; Bacillota; Bacilli; Caryophanales; Bacillaceae. The record is from RNAcentral.
UCCUACGGGGGGGCAGCAGUAGGGAAUCUUCCGCAAUGGACGAAAGUCUGACGGAGCAACGCCGCGUGAGUGAUGAAGGUUUUCGGAUCGUAAAACUCUGUUGUUAGGGAAGAACAAGUACCGUUCGAAUAGGGCGGUACCUUGACGGUACCUAACCAGAAAGCCACGGCUAACUACGUGCCAGCAGCCGCGGUAAUACGUAGGUGGCAAGCGUUGUCCGGAAUUAUUGGGCGUAAAGCGCGCGCAGGCGGUUUCUUAAGUCUGAUGUGAAAGCCCCCGGCUCAACCGGGGAGGGUCAUUGGAAACUGGGGAACUUGAGUGCAGAAGAGGAGAGUGGAAUUCCACGUGUAGCGGUUCUUUUAAAGAGAUGUGGAGGAACACCAGUGGCGAAAGGCGACUUCUCUGGUCCUGUAACUGACGGCUGAGGCCCCAAAAAAGCCA